UGUGCCCUUGAGGCGUGGCUUCCGGAGCUAACGCGUUAAAUCGACCGCCUGGGGAGUACGGCCGCAAGGUUAAAACUCAAAUGAAUUGACGGGGGCCCGCACAAGCGGUGGAGCAUGUGGUUUAAUUCGAUGCAACGCGAAGAACCUUACCUGGUCUUGACAUCCACAGAACUUUCCAGAGAUGGAUUGGUGCCUUCGGGAACUGUGAGACAGGUGCUGCAUGGCUGUCGUCAGCUCGUGUUGUGAAAUGUUGGGUUAAGUCCCGCAACGAGCGCAACCCUUAUCCUUUGUUGCCAGCGGUUCGGCCGGGAACUCAAAGGAGACUGCCAGUGAUAAACUGGAGGAAGGUGGGGAUGACGUCAAGUCAUCAUGGCCCUUACGACCAGGGCUACACACGUGCUACAAUGGCAUAUACAAAGAGAAGCGACCUCGCGAGAGCAAGCGGACCUCAUAAAGUAUGUCGUAGUCCGGAUUGGAGUCUGCAACUCGACUCCAUGAAGUCGGAAUCGCUAGUAAUCGUAGAUCAGAAUGCUACGGUGAAUACGUUCCCGGGCCUUGUACACACCGCCCGUCACACCAUGGGAGUGGGUUGCAAAAGAAGUAGGUAGCUUAACCUUCGGGAGGGCGCUUACCACUUUGUGAUUCAUGACUGGGGUGAA
RNAcentral lists this ribosomal RNA (659 nucleotides) under Klebsiella pneumoniae. RNAcentral's name for it is "bacterial SSU rRNA". It matches the Rfam family "Bacterial small subunit ribosomal RNA", at positions 825 to 1484 of the family's 1533-position model. Lineage: Bacteria; Pseudomonadati; Pseudomonadota; Gammaproteobacteria; Enterobacterales; Enterobacteriaceae. The record is from RNAcentral.